Molecule: non-coding RNA, 202 nt
Organism: Oryza nivara
Lineage: Eukaryota; Viridiplantae; Streptophyta; Magnoliopsida; Poales; Poaceae
Source: Rfam
UAUAAGGGAUUUUGAGUUUUUGCUUGCAACGUUUGACCAUUCGUCUUAUUCAAAUUUUUUUGAAAUUAUUAUUUAUUUUAUUUGUGACUUACUUUAUUAUCCACAGUAUUUUAAGCACAACUUUUCGUUUUUUAUAUUUGCAAAAAAAUUUGAAUAAGACGAGUGGUAAAACGUUGCAAGCGAAAUCUCAAAAUCCCUUAUA